AUUGAACGCUGGCGGCAGGCCUAACACAUGCAAGUCGAACGAGGGGCGGAGGGGUGAGAAAUGUGGGGGAAACUGCCUGAGGGAGGGGGAUAACUACUGGAAACGGUAGCUAAUACCGCAUACCAUCAGAAGUGCCCAGAUGGGAUUAGCUUGGUGGGGGGGUAAGGGCUCACCAAGGCGACGAUCCCUAGCUGGUCUGAGAGGAUGACCAGCCACACUGGAACUGAGACACGGCCCAGACUCCUACGGGAGGCAGCAGUGGGGAAUAUUGCACAAUGGGCGCAAGCCUGAUGCAGCCAUGCCGCGUGUAUGAAGAAGGCCUUCGGGUUGUAAAGUACUUUCAGCGGGGAGGCGUUACCCGCAGAAGAAGCACCGGCUAACUCCGUGCCAGCAGCCGCGGUAAUUC
This 406-nucleotide ribosomal RNA is filed under the name uncultured bacterium. RNAcentral's name for it is "partial 16S ribosomal RNA". It matches the Rfam family "Bacterial small subunit ribosomal RNA", at positions 29 to 526 of the family's 1533-position model. The record is from RNAcentral.